This 646-nucleotide ribosomal RNA is filed under the name uncultured Clostridium sp. Its description in RNAcentral is "bacterial SSU rRNA". It matches the Rfam family "Bacterial small subunit ribosomal RNA", at positions 62 to 710 of the family's 1533-position model. The record is from RNAcentral. Lineage: Bacteria; Bacillati; Bacillota; Clostridia; Eubacteriales; Clostridiaceae.
UCGAACGGGAUUUAGUAAACAGAAGCCUCGGUGGAAGAUUACUAAUGAGAGUGGCGAACGGGUGAGUAACGCGUGAGCAACCUGCCUAUGACAGUGGGAUAGCCUCGGGAAACCGGGAUUAAUACCGCAUAAAAUCGUAGAAACACAUGUUUCAACGGUCAAAGAUUUAUCGGUCAUAGAUGGGCUCGCGUCUGAUUAGCUAGUUGGUGAGAUAACAGCCCACCAAGGCGACGAUCAGUAGCCGGUCUGAGAGGAUGAACGGCCACAUUGGAACUGAGACACGGUCCAAACUCCUACGGGAGGCAGCAGUGGGGAAUAUUGCACAAUGGGGGAAACCCUGAUGCAGCGACGCCGCGUGAACGAAGAAGGUAUUCGUAUCGUAAAGUUCUGUCCUAUGGGAAGAUAAUGACAGUACCAUAGAAGAAAGCUCCGGCUAAAUACGUGCCAGCAGCCGCGGUAAUACGUAUGGAGCGAGCGUUGUCCGGAAUUAUUGGGCGUAAAGGGUACGCAGGCGGUUUAAUAAGUCGAAUGUUAAAGAUCGGGGCUCAACCCCGUAAAGCAUUGGAAACUGAUAAACUUGAGUAGUGGAGAGGAAAGUGGAAUUCCUAGUGUAGUGGUGAAAUACGUAGAUAUUAGGAGGAAUACC